Molecule: non-coding RNA, 434 nt
Filed under: Colletotrichum truncatum
Lineage: Eukaryota; Fungi; Ascomycota; Sordariomycetes; Glomerellales; Glomerellaceae
Description: sequence contains 18S rRNA gene, ITS1, 5.8S rRNA gene, ITS2 and 28S rRNA gene
Rfam family: 5.8S ribosomal RNA (bases 59-212)
Source: RNAcentral
GGAUAACCAAACUCUGAUUUAACGACGUUUCUUCUGAGUGACACAAGCAAAUAAUCAAAACUUUUAACAACGGAUCUCUUGGUUCUGGCAUCGAUGAAGAACGCAGCGAAAUGCGAUAAGUAAUGUGAAUUGCAGAAUUCAGUGAAUCAUCGAAUCUUUGAACGCACAUUGCGCCCGCCAGCAUUCUGGCGGGCAUGCCUGUUCGAGCGUCAUUUCAACCCUCAAGCUCUGCUUGGUGUUGGGGCUCUACGGUUGACGUAGGCCCUUAAAGGUAGUGGCGGACCCUCUCGGAGCCUCCUUUGCGUAGUAACAUUUCGUCUCGCAUUGGGAUUCGGAGGGACUCUAGCCGUAAAACCCCCAAUUUUACUAAGGUUGACCUCGGAUCAGGUAGGAAUACCCGCUGAACUUAAGCAUAUCAAUAAGGCGGGAGGAAA